AGUCACUGACAUUAGAUACCCCGGUAGUCCCAGCCGUAAACUAUGCUCGCUAGGUGUCAGGCAUGGCGCGACCGUGUCUGGUGCCGCAGGGAAGCCGUGAAGCGAGCCACCUGGGAAGUACGGUCGCAAGGCUGAACUUAAAGGAAUUGGCGGGGAGCACCACAACGGGUGGAGCCUGCGGUUUAAUUGGACUCAACGCCGGGAAGCUCACCGGAUAAGACAGCGGAAUGAUUGCCGGGCUGAAGACUCUGCAUGACUAGCUG
RNAcentral lists this ribosomal RNA (263 nucleotides) under uncultured archaeon. RNAcentral's name for it is "partial 16S ribosomal RNA". It matches the Rfam family "Archaeal small subunit ribosomal RNA", at positions 718 to 982 of the family's 1478-position model. The record is from RNAcentral.